Molecule: ribosomal RNA, 694 nt
Filed under: uncultured bacterium
Lineage: Bacteria
Description: bacterial SSU rRNA
Rfam family: Bacterial small subunit ribosomal RNA
Source: RNAcentral
AACGCUAGCUACAGGCUUAACACAUGCAAGUCGAGGGGCAGCAUGAACUUAGCUUGCUAAGUUUGAUGGCGACCGGCGCACGGGUGAGUAACGCGUAUCCAACCUUCCGUACACUCAGGAAUAGCCUUUCGAAAGAAAGAUUAAUACCUGAUGGUAUGAUGAGAUUGCAUGAAAUCAUCAUUAAAGAUUCAUCGGUGUACGAUGGGGAUGCGUUCCAUUAGAUAGUAGGCGGGGUAACGGCCCACCUAGUCGACGAUGGAUAGGGGUUCUGAGAGGAAGGUCCCCCACAUUGGAACUGAGACACGGUCCAAACUCCUACGGGAGGCAGCAGUGAGGAAUAUUGGUCAAUGGGCGCGAGCCUGAACCAGCCAAGUAGCGUGAAGGAUGAAGGUCCUACGGAUUGUAAACUUCUUUUAUAAGGGAAUAAAGUCACCUACGUGUAGGUGUUUGUAUGUACCUUAUGAAUAAGCAUCGGCUAACUCCGUGCCAGCAGCCGCGGUAAUACGGAGGAUGCGAGCGUUAUCCGGAUUUAUUGGGUUUAAAGGGAGCGCAGACGGGUCGUUAAGUCAGCUGUGAAAGUUUGGGGCUCAACCUUAAAAUUGCAGUUGAUACUGGCGUCCUUGAGUGCGGUUGAGGUGUGCGGAAUUCGUGGUGUAGCGGUGAAAUGCUUAGAUAUCACGAAGAACUCCGAUUG